CUUUGGCUGUGAUGAGAAUCUAUACAGCUUCAAAAAUGCCAGUUCUGCUUCAGAAAAUUCAUGAUAGAGGAAGCUGAUAGAAAGCUGAGCCUUUC
Phoenix dactylifera (date palm) is the source of this 95-nucleotide small nucleolar RNA. The record is from RefSeq and is a predicted model, not a curated record. NCBI's taxonomy places the organism in Eukaryota, Viridiplantae, Streptophyta, Magnoliopsida, Arecales, Arecaceae.